Molecule: ribosomal RNA, 440 nt
Filed under: uncultured bacterium
Lineage: Bacteria
Description: partial 16S ribosomal RNA
Rfam family: Bacterial small subunit ribosomal RNA
Source: RNAcentral
CCUACGGGAUGCAGCAGUGGGGAAUAUUGCACAAUGGGGGAAACCCUGAUGCAGCGACGCCGCGUGAGUGAAGAAGUAUCUCGGUACGUAAAGCUCUAUCAGCAGGGAAGAAAAUGACGGUACCUGACUAAGAAGCCCCGGCUAACUACGUGACAGCAGCCGCGGUAAUACGUAGGGGGCAAGCGUUAUCCGGAUUUACUGGGUGUAAAGGGAGCGUAGACGGCAUGGCAAGUCUGAAGUGAAAGCCCGGGGCUCAACCGCGGGACUGCUUUGGAAACUGUUAAGCUGGAGUGCAGGAGAGGUAAGUGGAAUUCCUAGUGUAGCGGUGAAAUGCGUAGAUAUUAGGAGGAACACCAGUGGCGAAGGCGGCUUACUGGACUGUAACUGACGUUGAGGCUCGAAAGCGUGGGGAGCAAACAGGAUUAGAUACCCUAGUAGUC